Molecule: ribosomal RNA, 1879 nt
Filed under: Triticum aestivum (bread wheat)
Lineage: Eukaryota; Viridiplantae; Streptophyta; Magnoliopsida; Poales; Poaceae
Description: partial small subunit ribosomal RNA
Source: RNAcentral
AUUCCUUCCGCGCCCCUCGGGCCGAGGAAGGAAGAAAGGAACCUCUUUUUGUCGACGUUAAAAAAAGCGCCGGCCCCUCCGUGCCGCCCCAGGCGGCCCUUUCGUGUCCGUCCCUCCGGCCAACGCGCACCCCCGCCCGCGCCCCGAGCGCGAGGAGGGAAGAAAAAUCUCCCGCAUCCGCCGGGCACCUCGCGUGUCGGCAAGCCACAGCCAUCGGCGCCGCCUACUAAAGUCGGCCGGCCGGAUAUAGCCACCCUUUCCCUGCACGCGCGCGCCACGCCAGCUUCCUCAGCGUCCGCCCCCCUCCCCUCCCCUGGCUUCUUCCUCCUCGCCACCUCAAGGCCUCCUCCGUCUCGGCCCUGUGCAAGGUCGCCACAGGCGUCCCUGUUCAACCGCCCUACCCGCGUCCCGUCUCCGGCUCCGGGCCGGUCGAGGUCCUCGAGGGGUACAUUGAUACUUGAAGCAGUAAUAUUGAAAAUGGUCAGUGCGAGGUCAGUAGACAGGCAGUUGGAUGCGUGCUUCAGCAACCUCAUGGUGUCUAGCGGUGGUGGAAGGGGGCAGGCUGAAACUGGUGGCGCUAUGCCUAUGUUGUCAGGAUGGAAGGACCUUCCAAUGGAGCUGCUUAUGCGGAUCAUAUCAGUUGCUGGAGAUGAUCGAAUUGUCGUUGUGGCAUCCGGUGUUUGCACUGGCUGGCGCGACGCGUUAGGAUGGGGGGUCACUAAUCUUUCCCUCUCAUGGUGCCAGCAGAACAUGAAUAACUUAACAAUAUCAUUUGCUCACAAGUUCACAAAGCUUCAGGUUCUCACUCUUCGCCAAAUCAAACCUCAGCUUGAAGACAGUGCAGUAGAGGCUGUUGCCAACUACUGUUAUGAUCUACGUGAGUUAGACCUCAGCCGUAGUUUCCGGCUUAGUGACCGUUCAUUGUAUGCACUGGCCAACGGAUGUCCUCGGCUUACAAAACUGAACAUCAGUGGGUGUUCCAGUUUCAGUGACAGUGCCUUAAUCUACCUUAGUUGCCACUGUAAAAACCUGAAGAGCUUGAAUCUUUGUGGAUGUGGAAAGGCAGCCACUGAUGAAUCCUUGCAGGCCAUAGCCCAAAACUGUGGGCACCUGCAAACUUUAAACCUAGGUUGGUGUGACAAUGUCACAGAUGAGGGGGUUACCAGCUUGGCAUCAGGUUGCCCUGAUCUCAGGGCCCUGGAUUUGUGUGGCUGUGUUCUUAUAACAGACGAGAGUGUUAUUGCUCUAGCAAGCGGGUGCCCGUACCUGCGAUCUUUGGGCCUGUACUACUGCCAGAACAUCACCGACCGUGCCAUGUACUCCCUCGCAAACAGCUGCGUGAAGAGCAAACGAGGGAGGUGGGGCACCCCGCGGAGCAGCAGCAGCAGCUCGAAGGACGUCGAUGGGCUGGCAAACCUGAACAUCAGCCAGUGCACGGCCCUGACGCCCCCCGCGGUUCAGGCGGUGUGCGACUCCUUCCCGUCGCUCCACACCUGCCCGGAGAGGCACUCCCUCAUCAUCAGCGGCUGCCUCAGCCUGACUAACGUCCACUGUGCCUGCGGCCUCCAGCGCCACCGCGCCGGAAGCGCCCUGCAGGCCACCAGCCAUGCGUACUGAGGAUGCGCGUGCUCUUGAUUCCGGCGAACGCCGUGUGCCUCNNNNNNNNNNNNNNNNNNCCCGGCCUGGAGGAAGACGUGUAUAUAAACUCUUAACCUGGAAAUGUAAUGUUGUAGUAGGACUAUUGUAUCAUGAGGACUCUGUGAUGCUCCCCCAUUGCCAUUCUUGAAACUGGCAAGAAGUUGCAAUGCUAUGUAUCUGGUGGAUUUCAACAAGGAUCUGUCGGUUGAUUCUGGGUAUUGGUAGUUUGCAAGCAUUCAGA